GGAUGUGAGGGCAAUCAGGCUGCAACAUCUGGUAUUCCAUUGAUUGCCAGGGUUGAUUCAGCUGAUCUGGCUGGCUAGGUGGGUGUCCCCUUCCUCCCUCACUGCUUCAUGUGCGUCCCUCCCCAAGCUGAGCACUCGGUCGGUCGAUCAAAGACGACGACCAUCCCCGAUAGAGGAGGACUGUUCUCCUCGGUCAAGGGUAUACGAGUAGCUGCGCUCUCUGCUAGAACCUCCAAACAAGCUCUCAGGUAAAAAACUUAUCUAACUGAAUACUUAAGAUCUGUGCAUUUCACUGUUUACAAGUUUACUUCAGAAAAAAAUGUUUUUAGUUAUAUUUAA
RNAcentral lists this small nuclear RNA (339 nucleotides) under Vicugna pacos (alpaca). RNAcentral's name for it is "7SK RNA (ENSVPAG00000017178.1)". It matches the Rfam family "7SK RNA". From Rfam's summary of the family: 7SK was discovered as an abundant small nuclear RNA in the mid-70s but a possible function has only recently been suggested. Two independent studies have found that 7SK RNA binds the CDK9/cyclin T complex (known as elongation factor P-TEFb). The record is from RNAcentral. Lineage: Eukaryota; Metazoa; Chordata; Mammalia; Artiodactyla; Camelidae.